AAUUUUCGAGAAAUGAUUCCUGCCCUUGGAAUCGUCAGGCUACUCGUUAUCAUUCUGAUAGGUGUCCUUCGCUGCUCACAUUGCAGGCGGAUUUGCUGGGAUGUCCGUAGGUUACACUGUGUUCAGCUGCUUCGACAAGACCCUGCUCAAAGACCCCAGGUUCUGGAUCUCGAUCGCGGCCUAUGUAGCUUGUCUCUUAUUUGCUGUGUUUUUUAACAUCUUUCUGUCCCCAGCAAACUGACUUGCCUCUGUUAUAAGCCACUUAAUAAAAGUGUCACAUGGGAGGAAGUGGCAAACUUUGUAAAGAAACACAGAUAUCCCAGCCUAUGCUAAGAAUGUUAUUAAAAAAAAGAAAGAAGACAGGACAGCAGCUGAGCUUCCAGCGCGAAGCAAGAAGAUAAAAAGCAAAGACUGGGCCUUUCAUGCACAGAGCAUGCGUGUGUGACCCUGUGAAGGAGCCUUGAUAUCCUUGGGGGAUGUAAUUUGGAGCUUGUUUAUAGGCUCCACGAGAGCUGCACUAUCCUGAUAAUAAACAUUUUUCAUAUCUGGCUCGGACUCUUGCUUCCUGUUGCUUUGAGGCAGAGCCGUGUGCCUCAUAGGAUGGCUAAGAACUUGGCAGACUCCAAGAAAGCCUUAGGACUUGGGUCUCUGUGGACAUCUCUGCAGCUGGGAUUACACACAGGCUUGCGUGACACCAGCCUGGGGUCUCCAGUCUUUAAGGCCAGCUCCACUGAGCUCCAUUCCCCAGGUAAAACCCUUGACAACCACUUUUCAGUAGACAGAGCACAACCGUUUGUUAUUUUUGUUUUUAAAGGUUUGUUUGUUUUUUGAGACAGGG
Molecule: long non-coding RNA, 838 nt
Filed under: Rattus norvegicus (Norway rat)
Lineage: Eukaryota; Metazoa; Chordata; Mammalia; Rodentia; Muridae
Description: long non-coding RNA NONRATT022603
Source: RNAcentral